Molecule: non-coding RNA, 70 nt
Organism: Podarcis lilfordi (Lilford's wall lizard)
Lineage: Eukaryota; Metazoa; Chordata; Lepidosauria; Squamata; Lacertidae
Source: the annotation of a GenBank genome assembly
GGUCAUGGCUCAGUGGAAGAGCAUGUGCUUGGCUUGCAGAAGGUCCCAGGUUCAAACCCCAGCAUGUCCC